CGUGGGCGGGAGCGUCUCGAGAGAUGGAGGCUCGUGCAGCUCGCGCCGGGACAGACGGCGACGGACCGGCAGCCUCAGCCAAAUCAGCAGAGGACAGCAGGAAUACAUCUGAAGUUGACAGCUGUACUUGCAGCUUAAAGUAUAGCAACGUUUAGCUGAAAAGAACUUAGUCAUCAUGGAGCUGGCAGUUCAGCACACUCAAGAAAUUCUCAGCGUUUCCUCUUGUGUAUUAUGCGAUUCUGUGGGGAAAAAUGCGUCUGGGAGCCAGAUAUACAUCACUAUAGUGGUGUUCUUCAGCUUAUGUCAUAUUGUUCAUUGUUUCAUGAAAGAGAUGUGUUUU
This 340-nucleotide long non-coding RNA is filed under the name Phasianus colchicus (ring-necked pheasant). RNAcentral's name for it is "lncRNA (ENSPCLG00000021300.1)". Lineage: Eukaryota; Metazoa; Chordata; Aves; Galliformes; Phasianidae. The record is from RNAcentral.